AGCAUGUGGUUUAAUUCGAAGCAACGCGAAGAACCUUACCAGGUCUUGACAUCCCGAUGCUAUUUCUAGAGAUAGAAAGUUACUUCGGUACAUCGGUGACAGGUGGUGCAUGGUUGUCGUCAGCUCGUGUCGUGAGAUGUUGGGUUAAGUCCCGCAACGAGCGCAACCCCCUAUUGUUAGUUGCCAUCAUUCAGUUGGGCACUCUAGCGAGACUGCCGGUAAUAAACCGGAGGAAGGUGGGGAUGACGUCAAAUCAUCAUGCCCCUUAUGACCUGGGCUACACACGUGCUACAAUGGUUGGUACAACGAGUUGCGAGUCGGUGACGGCGAGCUAAUCUCUUAAAGCCAAUCUCAGUUCGGAUUGUAGGCUGCAACUCGCCUACAUGAAGUCGGAAUCGCUAGUAAUCGCGGAUCAGCACGCCGCGGUGAAUACGUUCCCGGGCCUU
Molecule: ribosomal RNA, 446 nt
Filed under: uncultured Streptococcus sp.
Lineage: Bacteria; Bacillati; Bacillota; Bacilli; Lactobacillales; Streptococcaceae
Description: bacterial SSU rRNA
Rfam family: Bacterial small subunit ribosomal RNA
Source: RNAcentral